This 274-nucleotide ribosomal RNA is filed under the name uncultured bacterium. RNAcentral describes it as "partial 16S ribosomal RNA". It matches the Rfam family "Bacterial small subunit ribosomal RNA", at positions 523 to 796 of the family's 1533-position model. The record is from RNAcentral.
AUACAGAGGGUGCGAGCGUUAAUCGGAAUUACUGGGCGUAAAGCGUGCGUAGGUGGUCUGUUAAGUCAGGUGUGAAAGCCCUGGGCUCAACCUAGGAACUGCAUUUGAUACUGGCAGACUAGAGUGUGGUAGAGGGUAGUGGAAUUCCCGGUGUAGCGGUGAAAUGCGUAGAUAUCGGGAGGAACAUCAGUGGCGAAGGCGGCUACCUGGACCAACACUGACACUGAGGUACGAAAGCGUGGGGAGCAAACAGGAUUAGAAACCCCGGUAGUCC